AUUCACCAUCUAUUGCCCAUGUUUGAGUUGUUCAAAGACAUCACUAUUUUAGAAUUUAGUGAUCUCUGUUUGAAGGAACUAGUGAAAUGGAAGCAUAGGGAGUCAGAAAACUAUGACUGGACUCAUGCCUUAUCGAUUAUGAAAGAAUUGCAAGGUUCAAGGUAAGGAUCAUGCUAACAGUCCUGUUUUUGCUGACUAUAGAUGUAUAGUUAAUUACUGUGACCGACCACCUGGCACCCCGACUGGGUACCUCUGCCAAUUUACUCUUCCUAGCUGACCCUGAGAACCAUAAGCACCGCACCGGACACUGUAAGCACCGUAGACCCCACGAACCGCGCAGCUUGGUUGGGGUCUCGCCGUCUCUUCCCACCCUGGACCAAACUCCUGGAUCCCGGGACUCAGUGGGAAGGCCUCUCCUCCAAGAGAGUUUAUCUGUGAAGCUCUUACACAAGCUAGUAGUGAUGGCAGUAUAACAAGAACUCUUUGUAUAACAGUAGAACUCUGUGUUGAGGGUAAAGUAAGACUGAAUUUUAAUGAUGCCACACUGGCCUUUUAUGACAAUCCCCAUGCAAGGGGUACGCCCACAUGGACCUUGUUGGGGACUCCAGCACAAAGACACAGACCAAUAAGAACAGUGAUUAAAUACACAACACUCCCAUAACAAACAUACAAUCCAUCUUCUCUGCCUGGGAGAUAAUUGAGUCAGAUACUGUAUCAAUUCAAAAAACUCCAGGUAGAAAAAAACACAUAUUUUUAAAAAGUCCCAAAAGUACCCCAAAACACAUAGUAUCCCCACAAAUGUUACAUCCCCUGAUAGCCCUGAUCAGGCUCACCAAAAUGUCCAAAAAUCACCCAGAUCAGUUCAGGAAUUCAGGAAUUUUAUGUAAAUCAUUUAUUUGACCGACCGCAGGCAUGGUCCCAUAGCCGAAAGUAGUUCCAUAGAAUCAUGACUAAGUGCCGCUGGAGGACCGACCGGGAACCACAAGGUUUUCAUGCCGAAAAUAGUUCCAGGGCAUUCACGGCUAAGUCCCCCUGAAGUCUAUUCGCGGUUUUGGUCUAUGCAAACAAGAUGGCCGUAACCUUGUGGUCGAAUGGCACUUCGAAUGGCUUUGGGAGUUCGAAGUGCCGCUUCGAAAAUUCAAAUUGAUCCUGUUAUAAGUCUCAACAGUCACAAAUAACAUUUUCAACCAGGGUUUAGUCAAAGGGUAGGAGGAUGGCAAGUAUGCCCCAAGGACCUGUGAUGAGGUCCAAUUCAUCACAAUUACUUUAUUAAAACAUAAGAAGUUAUUGGGAAUUAAAUGACAAACCUAUCCAUGUAGUAGAUCAGGGACAGAAUUCAGGUCUUUUUGAAUAUUUAUUAAUUGUUUAUAUUCUCUGUCACAUAGACAUUCACAUAUCUCAAAAGAAUGGAUGGUCUCUCUAUACAGACAUUGGUUCUUAAUGUGUGAUUAGUGAAAUGUAAUAAAACAAUAAACAGUCCGCCGCUUCCCAAAUGUAGAGUGCUGUUAUUUUGAUAACAUUUUAUUAUCAAUUUACAAAAUAAGAAUAAAUAGAUUAUUUUCCGUGUGCAUAGCCCUACUAUACUUUAGGUAACAAAAUCAGUAGCAUGAUGCCUGAGCUUUGUAAUCCUAUUGAAGAGGCAUUGUCUUCAGGGGAAAUAUACCCAGCUGCUUUUGGCAUCAGAUGUUCAUUAAGUUCAUUAAGUGUGUUUAUUUUUACAUACAUGUUUAUGUCUAAUUGUUAUGUUUAAUUUUUGUAAUAUCAAAUAAUAUUUUGGAUAUACUGCUAUCAGUCUUUUUAAUAGGAUUGGAAAAUUCAAACAUUAUUUUCUUCAUGGAUGAUGCACCUCAUCAUGUAUCCUUGAUGACACUUUCCCACAGUAUGCACGAGUGUAUCACAGAGAUCCUAAGCAAUAAAACACUCUUAAGUUAAAUCACGGUGUGUAUGAGUGUAUCACAAAGCUCAACAGACAUAAACCUGUGAGCAAUGAUCAGUGUGUAUGAGUGCACUACAGAGCUCCAUAGUAAUACAUUUCACAAUCUUACCAAAACAAAACUCUCAGGAAUAGUUUAUCAGAGUAAUGAAAACACACAUUCUAUGUGUGCAGAAUAAGGGUGGAAAAUAAAAAGCAAAAAAAAAGUUAAAAUAUAUAUAAAUUUAAAUGAAUGUAACAAUAAAAAAAUAACUAAGUAAUCUCUCACAGGUGGUAUACAGGGAGUGCAGAAUUAUUAGGCAAAUUAGUAUUUUGACCACAUCAUCCUCUUUAUGCAUGUUGUCUUACUCCAAGCUGUAUAGGCUCGAAAGCCUACUACCAAUUAAGCAUAUUAGGUGAUGUGCAUCUCUGUAAUGAGAAGGGGUGUGGUCUAAUGACAUCAACACCCUAUAUCAGGUGUGCAUAAUUAUUAGGCAACUUCCUUUCCUUUGGCAAAAUGGGUCAAAAGAAGGACUUGACAGGCUCAGAAAAGUCAAAAAUAGUGAGAUAUCUUGCAGAGGGAUGCAGCACUCUUAAAAUUGCAAAGCUUCUGAAGCGUGAUCAUCGAACAAUCAAGCGUUUCAUUCAAAAUAGUCAACAGGGUCGCAAGAAGCGUGUGGAAAAACCAAGGCACAAAAUAACUGCCCAUGAACUGAGAAAAGUCAAGCGUGCAGCUGCCACGAUGCCACCAGUUUGGCCAUAUUUCAGAGCUGCAACAUCACUGGAGUGCCCAAAAGCACAAGGUGUACAAUACUCAGAGACAUGGCCAAGGUAAGAAAGGCUGAAAGAUGACCACCACUGAACAAGACACACAAGCUGAAACGUCAAGACUGGGCCAAGAAAUAUCUCAAGACUGAUUUUUCUAAGGUUUUAUGGACUGAUGAAAUGAGAGUGAGUCUUGAUGGGCCAGAUGGAUGGGCCCGUGGCUGGAUUGGUAAAGGGCAGAGAGCUCCAGUCCGACUCAGACGCCAGCAAGGUGGAGGUGGAGUACUGGUUUGGGCUGGUAUCAUCAAAGAUGAGCUUGUGGGGCCUUUUCGGGUUGAGGAUGGAGUCAAGUUCAACUCCCAGUCCUACUGCCAGUUCUUGGAAGACACCUUCUUCAAGCAGUGGUACAGGAAGAAGUCUGCAUCCUUCAAGAAAAACAUGAUUUUCAUGCAGGACAAUGCUCCAUCACACGCGUCCAAGUACUCCACAGCGUGGCUGGCAAGAAAGGGUAUAAAAGAAGAAAAUCUAAUGACAUGGCCUCCUUGUUCACCUGAUCUGAACCCCAUUGAGAACCUGUGGUCCAUCAUCAAAUGUGAGAUUUACAAGGAGGGAAAACAGUACACCUCUCUGAACAGUGUCUGGGAGGCUGUGGUUGCUGCUGCACGCAAUGUUGAUGGUGAACAGAUCAAAACACUGACAGAAUCCAUGGAUGGCAGGCUUUUGAGUGUCCUUGCAAAGAAAGGUGGCUAUAUUGGUCACUGAUUUGUUUUUGUUUUGUUUUUGAAUGUCAGAAAUGUAUAUUUGUGAAUGUUGAGAUGUUAUAUUGGUUUCACUGGUAAUAAUAAAUAAUUGAAAUGGGUAUAUAUUUGUUUUUUGUUAAGUUGCCUAAUAAUUAUGCACAGUAAUAGUCACCUGCACACACAGAUAUCCCCCUAACAUAGCUAUAACUAAAAACAAACUAAAAACUACUUCCAAAAAUAUUCAGCUUUGAUAUUAAUGAGUUUUUUGGGUUCAUUGAGAACAUGGUUGUUGUUCAAUAAUAAAAUUAAUCCUCAAAAAUACAACUUGCCUAAUAAUUCUGCACUCCCUGUAAAUAAGUCUCCAAUUAAUCAAAACAUCAUAAAUCAACUUCCCCAUGUUUGUUUUUUACUUUAUUGAUCCAAAAGGUUUCUUUCAUCCUAUUACUCUUUCUUUAGCUUACCAGUGACAAAAAAAGUGAUAUCCCCAAAAAUGCAAGCUUUCUUAAGUAAAAUAUGAAGAGUAUAUUUAUGAUUCUUAAUUUAAUCCGUAAUAAUAUUAAGCAAUAAUACACCCCCUCACACUCACAUAUAUAAAUAUGCAUAUAUAUUUAUAGUGUUAUGCAUUACUUGCACCCAGGUGGUAAUCAAGGUCAACAAUAUAGGAAGAAAUAUUUUUACCUAAAUAUAUACAUAGACAUGUUAUAAUAUUUGUUUACAUAUACUGUAACGGUUUUAUGUAGUGGUUGUGUUACUUAGACUGUUUCUUUGUAGAUAAAAAUUUAACCUCACCCUUUAACCCCCUUGUAGAAAUUAACAUUACCACUUGCCUUCACUGUCAAUCACAGUGAUGAUUCAUGUAACUUUUUGUGAAGAUACAUUCUGAUUUAUUGUGAAGACAUUCUUCACCAGAAAAGAAACAGCAUCAUUUAUGACGGAGUGUCAAUUCUAGUCUUUAGGAAGGUCGCAUGCAUGGGUUUCAGUAUGACCUCAUAUGAUGUACGUAGAAAACAUAGCAGCUCCGUUAGUCCAACCUUUACGUAACAUAAUAUAGCUUAGUAAUACAACCUCAUGUCAUGCAUUGUUAUAAUAAUUACAUAAAUAUAACAAAUAUGGGACUUCUGAAACAGUUCAACACAUUGAUUGUCUGAAACAAAUCCCUUUGAUUCGUAUUAAAACUCAUCAAUUUGUUCUGAAACUAAAUGGAAAAUUCCAGCCCAUAAAUACGACCAUCAAAUUAAUCGAUAUGUUUAUGGACAAACCGAACAUUUGCACAAGUCUAAUAGAUAUGUUGAACAAUUUGGCAAGACUUAUUUCCAAAUAAGUAAAAAUCAAUUCUGCUUAUAAACACAUACUACAGAUCACGUGUUAUAUGUGUCUCCAUUGUAUGUAUGUAUUAAACUUUUAGCCACCUGGUUAUAUUUUUCAGCUUUAAGGGCAAUGAAAUGGAAAACGCUUUAAGAAGAAAUAUCUCACACAUUCUAAAAUGUGAUUUCAACAAGGAAAAUAUUACAGAUCCAG
Molecule: long non-coding RNA, 4935 nt
Filed under: Pelobates cultripes (western spadefoot toad)
Lineage: Eukaryota; Metazoa; Chordata; Amphibia; Anura; Pelobatidae
Source: RNAcentral